This 73-nucleotide transfer RNA is filed under the name Stegodyphus mimosarum. It matches the Rfam family "tRNA". From Rfam's summary of the family: Transfer RNA (tRNA) molecules are approximately 80 nucleotides in length. Their secondary structure includes four short double-helical elements and three loops (D, anti-codon, and T loops). Further hydrogen bonds mediate the characteristic L-shaped molecular structure. tRNAs have two regions of fundamental functional importance: the anti-codon, which is responsible for specific mRNA codon recognition, and the 3' end, to which the tRNAs corresponding amino acid is attached (by aminoacyl-tRNA synthetases). tRNAs cope with the degeneracy of the genetic code in two manners: having more than one tRNA (with a specific anti-codon) for a particular amino acid; and 'wobble' base-pairing, i.e. permitting non-standard base-pairing at the 3rd anti-codon position. Lineage: Eukaryota; Metazoa; Arthropoda; Arachnida; Araneae; Eresidae. The record is from Rfam by way of RNAcentral.
GCCUUCGUGGUGUAGUGGCCAUCACGCUCGCCGCGUAUUUGAGAGGUCCGUGGUUCGAAUCCCGGCGAAGGCA